UCAGCGCAAUGAUAUGGAUUAACUAAAAACUAUUGUUCAUAGUGAGCAGAAACCGGCGUCGUAAAACAAAUCUUUUGCCGACUUGUCCCGUUCUGAGACAUGAUAUUAGGAGAACGGACUAUUUUUUAACAAGACCAUGAAGGUCAUCUGGCACCUUUGUACGCUGUUCAUUUUGACGUUGAUUCACAAGAAAAGUGCACAAGUCAAUAGAGGUACGAAUGUCUAAAAACUUGGAAUGUUAUCAACAUUUCCAAUCGACUGGUCGAGUCUGUUAAACUCGACGAUUUGCGAUUCUUCCUUUUUGUUCUGUAUCGUAUUCUUUUUCUUCACCCUCCAUAAUAAGUCAUAAAACUUCACGUUCGCCAGCAAAUGGCGCAAGUAGCGACUCCCCGAAAGUAACGAUGCUUGUAAAGUAGCGUUCUCAAACACAGCUUUGCCUCUUAGGAGAAACAAUGCGGAAAUAUAUAUUAUAAACAAAUACAAGAAGCUGCACUAGAAGGAUCAUCCUAAAAUAUAUUUUAACAUAUCCAUAUGUCAUUGUCUGCUCUCAGUAUAUCGACAUAUUUUAUUUUAUUUGGGACGCUUGCCCUAAAUAACAUGCCUUUGCUACCGGAAAGUAGCGAUCCGCGGAAAUAUAUGCGAUAUGAUUAUUAAAAGGACUGCUAAAUCCGAAACUAAAAGAGAGACUUUACUUUCGAAGUUUCACGGUUGUUGGUCCCGUCCGGGUAAAUAGUGCAAAGAAGCAAAUUAUGA
Long non-coding RNA from Orbicella faveolata, 753 nucleotides. The record is from RefSeq and is a predicted model, not a curated record. NCBI's taxonomy places the organism in Eukaryota, Metazoa, Cnidaria, Anthozoa, Scleractinia, Merulinidae.